CGGUGGUUCUGGCCUUCAUGGCCACCAAACCAGGAUCCAGGAUGAGGAAAUGGGUGGGUGUCGGGGACUGGGCAAAAGAGGAGAAGCGGUGGAGACCGCCUGCCCAUCCUGACUGUUCCAGGGUGAAAGGAAGAGGAAACAGUAUAGCUUUACAACAGGGGUUUGUGGGAGGUCACAGCUCAGAGGCAGAUGAGGGGAAAAGUUGGGAAUUAAUGAGAGAGCCAGAGCAGCAGCUGGCUGACAUGUUGUCACUAGAAAGCAUCCCAGACUCUCCAUCUCCCACAACCUGACGAUCUUUAAAAGUAGGGGAGCAAAGAGCUCAAAGACAGAGGGCACGUAGAAGCACCUGUAGAGGAGGUGAUGAUGAUGACCAAUGAGGAAGUGGGAGAGACGGGGGGUGGAGAUUCACUCGGGACAAUGCCAUUAUCCAAGAGGAUGGGUUCCAUAGCCUCUCUCUGUAAAGUUUGAAAUAAAAAAGACUGUAAGAAACUUUUCCUUGUCUUUAUACUUCCCUGGGCAACCAGCCAGGAGCUGCUGACAGCAUCCAGACAGUGGGGAAAUACCUCACAAGCUCUGUUCUUCCUGGUUGCUGCUCAGUUCAAACCAGUAUUUGUGCUGUCUGGCUGUGCACCGUUCCUCCCAAACAUGUUCUCUUUUGGGCAGCGGGGAAGGCGUGACUUGGGUUCAGGUUUGGGCCCCGGGUUCUGGCACAGCUGUGGGUGGUUUGGGUUGGGGGGGUGAGUGGGCAACCACUGAAAAGAAGCUCAACAAUUUUGGGGCUCAACAAAUGUCAGGAUUUUUACUUCUUGAAAUGCGGCAACCCUAGGUUAUAUAUCUGCCAGUUGCAACCCAACUUCUGAUUAAAGAAAAAAUGAUAAUUAAAAGGCUGAAAGCCAAACAAAAAACAUGUGGAGACCCACCUUUCCCUACUGGAUUUCCCUGUAUGAGUUUCCAGCGCAUUUAAUUGAAUUGCUUCUUUGACGCUUUUAGAUCCAGCCUAAGAGCCCUCAGCUGGGGGAAGCAUGCUUGCAUGCGACACUCACAAUUACCAGCGCACCGUUCAAUAACAAAUACAUAUGAUUAUUUUGCUGUUACUGUUUUCCCUUACAGAGCACAAUACUCUAAGGAGAUCACUUUGGAACAAGUAAUUAUUUCGAAAUGUGGGUUUCAUCAUAUUGCCAAAUCCCACAUACAUUAUAUCAUAAACACAAGGUGUAUAUAAAAUAAACCCUGUGUCAUUUAGAGCCCCAGUGAGAAAUUCUGAACACAAAGGAUUUCAUGGAACAGAUCUUUGGCACAUCCCCUUUAUUAAAAUAAUCCAGUGCCAUUAAACCUAAUGCAAUUCAUGGUGGAUGAGAGAGAAAUCUGUCUUUCUGCAUAACUGUUGGUCAAGAUGGUAGGAACAUUUCUGCUGAUGAUUCUUCUCUUCCUGUGGCUGCAGAUGCCUCCAACUGAGUGCAAGGAAGACUCUGAGACAUGCACCAUGACGGAUCCAUUCCAGCUUCCAUACCAGUAUUAUCAGAGAGGGGACCUAAUCAUUGGAGGAAUUGUUAAUACUUUUGGCUAUUUUUCUGAAGAUAUAGAUUUCCAGGACCACCCAAACACAAAGUUCACAGAUGAACUUUAGUAAGGAAAUCACUCUCUCCUUCAUAGUGUACAUUUUUCUAUGCUACAACUACACUACACAAACCAUGGCA
This is a non-coding RNA of Podarcis lilfordi (Lilford's wall lizard), 1697 nucleotides long. Lineage: Eukaryota; Metazoa; Chordata; Lepidosauria; Squamata; Lacertidae. The record is from the annotation of a GenBank genome assembly.